CCACAUCCCUCCCAUUUUUCGUACUUUACUCUUCACCAUCAUUUACGAGGUUAUAAACAAGGUUAUUCAUGUGGAAAACUUCAGACUGUUGCUUUUUCAUUUUUCUUCCAUUUUUGUUUAAUGUUGUCGUUACCAUUUUUUUAUCGUAUGUGUUGUUUGUGAUGGUUCAUGAUUUGUUUCGUUUGUCAUACAUGGAUGCAUACAUCUUCGAUCUCAUUUUGGACGACAUGUUCAUCUUCAUGGAAGGAAGGUGAUGAACAACCAUGUUCAUAAGAUAUUAGUUUGUUGUUUGUUCUUUUUGCUGUAAAUUUUUAUUAUGUUUUUAAUUUUGUUUUUUAUAUAUUUUAUUUGAUGCCAUGGAGGAGUGGUUGAGAC
Molecule: long non-coding RNA, 375 nt
Filed under: Lathyrus oleraceus (garden pea)
Lineage: Eukaryota; Viridiplantae; Streptophyta; Magnoliopsida; Fabales; Fabaceae
Description: Pisum sativum (pea) long non-coding RNA (PSAT_LNC011232)
Source: RNAcentral